GUGAGCGCUGGCGGCAGGCCUAACACAUGCAAGUCGAACGGCAGCACAAGAGAGCUUGCUCUCUGGGUGGCGAGUGGCGGACGGGUGAGGAAUGCAUCGGAAUCUGCCCAUUUGUGGGGGAUAACCUCGGGAAACCGGGACUAAUACCGCAUACGACCUACGGGUGAAAGCAGGGGAUCUUCGGACCUUGCGCAGAUGGAUGAGCCGAUGCCGGAUUAGCUAGUUGGAGGGGUAAAGGCCCACCAAGGCGACGAUCCGUAGCUGGUCUGAGAGGAUGAUCAGCCACACUGGGACUGAGACACGGCCCAGACUCCUACGGGAGGCAGCAGUGGGGAAUAUUGGACAAUGGGCGCAAGCCUGAUCCAGCCAUGCCGCGUGUGUGAAGAAGGCCUUCGGGUUGUAAAGCACUUUUGUUGGGAAAGAAAAGCAGCCGGUUAAUACCCGGCUGUCAUGACGGUACCCAAAGAAUAAGCACCGGCUAACUUCGU
Molecule: ribosomal RNA, 488 nt
Filed under: uncultured bacterium
Lineage: Bacteria
Description: partial 16S ribosomal RNA
Rfam family: Bacterial small subunit ribosomal RNA
Source: RNAcentral